Molecule: microRNA precursor, 123 nt
Filed under: Tursiops truncatus (common bottlenose dolphin)
Lineage: Eukaryota; Metazoa; Chordata; Mammalia; Artiodactyla; Delphinidae
Description: miRNA (ENSTTRG00000025282.1)
Source: RNAcentral
AGUUGGAUUUGAAUUUCAGAUAAGCAAUGAAUAAUUUUUUUAGUAUAAGUAUGUCCCAUGCAAUACUUGCGGCAUGCUUAUACUAAAAAGUUAUUCAUUGUUUAUCUGAUAUUCAGAUUUAAC